CCGGAGUGAUCCGGCUGCGGGCCAGGGUCUGGGAAGGGGGUGGUGGGUCGCCGUUUCAUCAGAAGCCGGAGGACGGGCGCCAGGGGGCAACUUCCUACAGGAGGGCGUCCCGUUAGAAUGACAGGGCUUUUGCAAAAGUCUGACACCCGUGGCACAGAGCGCCCCAGAUAUGGAGGGUUUCACAGGCUCAUGUGUGGCUUCUUCAGUCCUCUCUUCAUUCACUCAUGUAUUCAUUUAUUCAACGACAUAUUACUAAGGAACCUCCUUAAGCCGGGAUGCUGAACGUGGAAAAAUAGGUGAAAUAUAAUUUUACCCCUGAGAAGCUCAUAGGCUAAAAAAAAUAUUGAUUUGGGAUAAAUGUAUGUUAAGUUGACUCUUGAACAAUGUGGGGGCUUGGGGCACCAACCCCCUGUGCAGUUGAAAAUCGACAUAUAACUUUGACUCGCCAAAAACUUCACUACAAUAGCCUGCUGCCAACCUGAAGUCUUACCAAUAACAUCAACAGUCAAUUAAACAUAUUACUAGGCUGAAAAGGAGAAGGAAGUGAAGGGGUUGGUCUUGCCGUCUCACGAGUGGCAGAGGCAGGAGAAAAUCCAAAUAGUAUAGAUGUUCUUCAGGCUGGAUGCAUAUUGCCAGAUUUGAAUACUAACCUUUUAGGAAGCAGGACAGGCAGAAGGAUGCCUUCUUCCACGCAAGCACUGAACCAAACCACAGUAGAAGAAACAGAAUCAAAUGAGAGAGAUUCAACUGACCAGUUUAAGGCUUAUCAGAAAGGAACAAAGACAUACCAAAAUAGACCAUCCUUGCACAAACACAGACACACAGGGACAAGGCACAAGUGCAUCACUUACACCAGCACAGGUGCUAGCAAGAAACCCAUUCAUAUGAACACUUUAUGCGGAUUUUAAAGGGAAAACUCUUCUUUUAAACAUAAAGGACUUUUAUCUUUGUAGUAUCCACAUUUAUUCACUCAUUCAUUUGAUGCAAUUUAUGUGCCAGAUGCUUGGUCAGGACUGAGGAUGUGUAGUGGACAAGCCAGGAUUGCUGCAGUGAUGUGCUCACCAUUGGAGAGAGGAAUGACUGUCAACAAAUCACUACAGGCCCAUAUGUUAAGUUCUUUAAUAGUACGGUGACUGGAACUACGGGACGGAACCCAAAAUGCAGUCACCCAAACGCAUCAUGUCCAUUUUGAUCCCUACAGCAAUUAAGCCUUGCUUUCACAGCCGCUGAAGCAGACCAACAGAUGGUUGUUUAAUUGUUUAUAAAACCAAACAUUAACUACUGGGCUUGGCAACGUAUCUCUUCUCCUGAAGCCUCUCAAAGCAGAUAUCAGACAACACUCUGGAAGAUGCUGAGAAACAUCAAAAGAUCAAAGGUCGAAUCUUGGAAUUCAGAUCUGUCAUUGACCUGCCUUAUAACUUCUGUCAAACUGCAAUGUGGUGAGAUUGUUCACAUGUUUCACAGCAGUGUUGCAUGGAAUGACUAAUGGCCUUCAGUUGGUUCCUGUGUAGAUGGUAAAAUGGAAAGCUGUUCACAAAACCCCUUUCUAGCAAAGAUGCGUCUCUGCCAAGUCACAUAUGUUGGCCAGAGGUGUGUUUAGGGAACUUGGCCCUCUUCAGAAAAAUACAGUCUCCUUGUUCCUGGCCAGAUUUUAAUGUUGCUCUACCUUUUAGCUUAUGAAGCUUCAGGCUGUCUGUACAAAUGCUGUCUGUUUUAAUAGAGUGCUAAUUGCAGUAACGGGCAGGGCACUUAUGUCUGUAAUCAUCACAUCAACGCCACUUGGCUUAAUCCUUGAAAAUGGACAACAAGCUAUUACUAAACCAUAAAAAUCACAAAUUGUGCGUGCUGACCUAGAGACACCUCCAAUCAAUGAGAAGCAGCCUGAGAGCCACCAAAGGCUCUUCAAUGUCCAGCUGUCACCGACAUUCCCCAAGAACUUCAAAGAUUUUAAAGGCCACCAUUUCCAUGCACGUGUCUCUUGGCGUUGCUGCUGUUUACACUAUGUGGAAGCUGGACACUCAGCCUGUUUCGGGGGGACCCAGGCUAAAGGUUCUGCCCUAGGUGUGCAGCCUCUUCCUUAUCCUCCUGGGUUCAGCUUCAACGUCACAUGCCCAGACUUUCAGCCUCCAGGACUUAUACCAGCACCCACUCUCCCUCCUGAUUCCCAGGCCUUCAGCCUUAGACUGGGAGUUAUAGGAUUGGCUCUCCUAGUAAAGGGUAAGAUAGAUGUAUUCUUUUAUAUAUAAUAUAUAACACAAUGGCUCUCUG
This 2268-nucleotide long non-coding RNA is filed under the name Homo sapiens (human). RNAcentral's name for it is "HSALNT0345051". Lineage: Eukaryota; Metazoa; Chordata; Mammalia; Primates; Hominidae. The record is from RNAcentral.